This 700-nucleotide ribosomal RNA is filed under the name Alpova diplophloeus. RNAcentral describes it as "eukaryotic LSU rRNA". The stretch from base 221 to 375 matches the Rfam family "5.8S ribosomal RNA". Lineage: Eukaryota; Fungi; Basidiomycota; Agaricomycetes; Boletales; Melanogastraceae. The record is from RNAcentral.
CUGGCCUUCGGAAACGAAGGCAUGUGCACGUCUCGAAAGUCUUGCUUAGUACCUUGAUCUCUUUCCUUUCGUGAACCCCUUUUCUUACACCUGUGCACCCAUUGUAGGUCCCGCGAGGGAUCCUAUGUCUCUAUCUACUCUUAAAUGUAUGGCCUAGAAUGUCUUGAAACGUCGUCCGGCCUGGCUAACGCUUGGUUGGCGGCAGUAAAGAACUUUAUACAACUUUCAGCAACGGAUCUCUUGGCUCUCGCAUCGAUGAAGAACGCAGCGAAUUGCGAUACGUAAUGUGAAUUGCAGAUUUUCAGUGAAUCAUCGAAUCUUUGAACGCACCUUGCGCUCCUUGGUAUUCCGAGGAGCAUGCCUGUUUGAGUGUCAUUAAAUUCUCAACCAUCCUUUGAUUUAUUUCGAGGGUUGGCUUGGAUCUUGGGAGCUGCCGGCGACUCACUGGGGUCUUGUCGGCUCUCCUUAAAAGUAUUAGCGAAUGGUGUGAUGAGCUUCGUGCAUGAACGGCCUUUGACGUGAUAAUGAUCGUCGUGGCUGGAGUGCCUCGAGAGGCUUGGAUCGUCUUUGCUUCUAAUCUUGAUUGUAGAGGGAGGGGAACUCUGCUCCGGCGGACGAAACUUUCCUUUACUUUUUUUUUUUGACUUUUGACCUCAAAUCGGGUAGGACCACCCGCUGAACUUAAGCAUAUCAAUAAGCA